AUACUUACUUGGACGGGGUCUAUGGCUGAUCAUGAAGAGUCAUGAACCAGGCUAGUGGCCCAAAUUGCACUUUGUGGGUGUGCUGGCCUAUCAUCUCUCCUUUGAGGGAGAGUGGACAUCAUAAUUUGUUAUAGAGGGGGUAUGCGUUUGCGUGGCCCCUG
Molecule: small nuclear RNA, 161 nt
Filed under: Triticum urartu
Lineage: Eukaryota; Viridiplantae; Streptophyta; Magnoliopsida; Poales; Poaceae
Description: U1 spliceosomal RNA
Rfam family: U1 spliceosomal RNA
About the family: U1 is a small nuclear RNA (snRNA) component of the spliceosome (involved in pre-mRNA splicing). Its 5' end forms complementary base pairs with the 5' splice junction, thus defining the 5' donor site of an intron.
Source: Rfam by way of RNAcentral